UUUCCGUAGGUGAACCUGCGGAAGGAUCAUUAUCGUACAGAAUGUGAGGGACAUGCUAGGGAUGUCGAUCACUCACAAGUCGUGCACGCCCGACUGUGUCCUCUUGCAUAACCAUCCAUCACACCCUGGGUGCAUCACCGAGUGGGCACCCUUCGGGAUCAUUUUGGAGGGUGGCUAGCGAUUUCACAAAAACCCCCCAUAUAAAAGUUUAGAAUUACCACAUCUAUGCAAUACAUACAACUUUCAACAACGGAUCUUUUGGCUCUCGGCUCGUAAAAG
This 279-nucleotide unclassified non-coding RNA is filed under the name plant metagenome. RNAcentral's name for it is "partial contains small subunit ribosomal RNA, internal transcribed spacer 1, and 5.8S ribosomal RNA". The record is from RNAcentral.